CAGCAGCCGCGGUAAUACGUAGGGUGCGAGCGUUAAUCGGAAUUACUGGGCGUAAAGCGUGCGCAGGCGGUUCUAUAAGACAGAUGCGAAAUCCCCGGGCUCAACCUGGGAACCGCAUUUGUGACUGUAGAGCUGGAGUGCGGCAGAGGGGGAUGGAAUUCCGCGUGUAGCAGUGAAAUGCGUAGAUAUGCGGAGGAACACCGAUGGCGAAGGCAAUCCCCUGGGCCUGCACUGACGCUCAUGCACGAAAGCGUGGGGAGCAAACAGGAUUAGAGACCCCUGUAGUCCCUGUCUCUUAUAC
This 301-nucleotide ribosomal RNA is filed under the name uncultured bacterium. RNAcentral describes it as "partial 16S ribosomal RNA". It matches the Rfam family "Bacterial small subunit ribosomal RNA", at positions 509 to 807 of the family's 1533-position model. The record is from RNAcentral.